Molecule: long non-coding RNA, 22491 nt
Filed under: Gallus gallus (chicken)
Lineage: Eukaryota; Metazoa; Chordata; Aves; Galliformes; Phasianidae
Description: lncRNA (ENSGALG00010010309.1)
Source: RNAcentral
UUCUCUCCUGCCUGCAAAUAUGGCAUCAGGAAACAUAAACACCUACAAGAUAAAAGCAAAACCUAAUCCUAGAAAAACAAGCCUGACUAUUUACUCACCCAGAUCUAACUCUGGACUAGACCCAUGCAACUCACACCAGAGCCUACCAGCAGCUACUGCUGGUCAUGCUGCUAUGAGAACUGCCUUCACAGAGAGCCUAAAAAUCAGGCAGGAAAUCAGAUACAAAGAAGAACAUGGGGUAACAAGACAGUGACACUUUCCUGUAAGAAGACCAUAAAUCUUUAUACAAGGGGGCGGACUGGAGAACGUCAGGGGUUUCCAUGUGUGAGUGUUUAAAAUAAAACCUUAUUCAUGCUGGAGUGGGGAAGAAAAGAACUGGCAAGCUGGGAACACAAAAAGAGAAAAGGAGGAACCUUAAAAUAUGAGGAUUGACUGGGUCUUGAGCUCUGAAGGUGAGACUUGUGCAAUGAAUUCCCUUCACCACUCUUAGGAGUAGAGUUCACACAGUUAUCUGACACCACGCAACAUCCUCUCUUCUGCUGUAUGACUUAUCUGUCAGAUCCCAGUUUGCCUGAGGACAAGUAGGACAGAGGCUGUAGCACAGGGAUGAAACCUGGAAACAGCUCCUUCUGUGUGGGUCCCCGUCAUCCUUCUCUGCCAGACUACUUAGGCACAUGCCAAAUGUUACACCUACUUUGGGUCUUUCACACUCUUAGACUGGAUAAAUUUCAGAAGUCAGAAUGAACAUUAUGGAGAGUAGGUAGAUCCUCCCACACAAAUCGUCUGAUGGAGAAGAGAAUGGUGUCUUCUGCUUUCAGAGAAAGCAGCUGGAAUCAAGCCCAGAAAUUUUUUUGCAGCUACUAUAACUCAGCCACCCUGCACACAAACCUUUAGGCAUAAAAAUGAUACAGUAUUAAAAUGAAAGGGGUACAGCAAUUUCAGUUAAAAUUGCACUGGGUAUCAUAAUUUCACAUUUCUUAGCUAUGUGUGUGCUUCAGCUCUCAGCUAGAAUGUGCUAAUUGUAACUUUCCACAAUGAUGUUAAAAAGGAUUAAGCAAAACGGUAAUACAUACUAUCCUUCUCUCCAAAAGUGAGAACUGUAGUCCAGCUUUGGAACAGUCUGUGCUUCCCACUGGCUUUGUUGAGAAUUUUCUUUUGGAUUGAUGGGCAGUAUGCAGUUCUCAGAGCUUUCAGCUGGCCACUCCGACAGGUGUUGUGGUAUCACUGUUUCUUUAAUUCUUAUGUUCCCUGUUGCACUGCCAUAUCCAAGUGGACGUAUUUCAGUGGUGAGCAGGCAGAUUUGAAUAACAUCCUCGUGGACAGCAGGUUGACUCAGCAGUGUGCUCUUGUGGCCAGGGGGGCCAAUGGUAUCCUGGGGUGCAUUACAAAGUUUGCAGCCAGCAGGUUGAGGGAGGUUCUCCUCCCCCAUUCCUCUGCCCUGGAAGACCACAUUUGGAUCACUGUGUCCAGGUCUGGGCUCCUCAGUUCAAGAAAUACAGGGAACAUCUAGAGAGUCCAGUGGAUGCCCUGGAGGGCUUCCUUAUGGGGAAGGCUGAGAGACCUAAGGCUGUUCAGCCUGGAGAAAACUGAAAGGGAAUCUUAUGUAUACUUACAAGUAUCUAACAGGCUGGAGACAACUGAGUGGGGCCAGGUUCUUUUCAGUGGCACCCAGAAACAGGACAAGGGGCAAUGCACACAAACUGGAACAUAAAAAAUCUUUAUUUUAAGGGUAACAGAGCACUGGAACAGGCUGCCCAGAGAGGUGGCAGUCUCCUUCUCUGGAGAUAUUCAAAAUCUGUCUGGAUGCUUUCCUGCGUAGGGAACCUUCUUUAGCAGGGGGUUGAACAAGAUGAUCUCCAGAGGUCCUUUCCAACCCCUACAAUCCUCUAAUCCUGUGAUCCUCUGAAUAAAAAGUAGGCUAAGCUCGCCAUUGCUCUGUACUUUUUUGUAACUGGCUGUUGUCCUGCAAGGGGGGUAUGGAAAGCUGCCAAAUCCUAGUGGUUGCCUUUCACGCUUCUAUUGUACAGGUUAUUUCAGUAGUUACUGAAUAGUAAAGGCAAUGAAGCUAUCAGACACAUAUAUCAACUUACAAUUGCAUGUGUACUUUCAGAACCAGUUUAACAACAGCUUCUGUUUAUGCAUUUGUUGAAGGGUUCAGACUUACACACUGAAAGAAAAGGAAAUGCAGAACAGGCACCUGCAUUUGUUGUUACAAGUCACUGUGAUCCUGUUCACCACAGUGAUGCUACGUAAAUUUUUACAGAGCCUGUCCAGGAGCUGGUGGCUGGCAGAAUAGUAAGAAAUGGUUAUAUUGGGGCUAUCUAACAAACAGUGCUUUAGAGACAAAAGGCAAAAGGGCAGAGAAUCUUUAUGAAGGUGCUUCAUCAGCACUAUAUCAGUCUAUUGCUAUCUACAACCUGGGUGCCAGAAUGUUCUUAGUAAGCAUAUUUUUGCCUUUUUAGGGUGGUCAAAGAUCAUUUGCUCCUUAUGGUAACUUACUGAAAGAAAUCUAGAAGCACAGAAUACUAAAUUAUCAGAAUAGUAAAAAGUUAUGUAUUAUUUACAAGCACAGUGUGAGCUGUCAGGUCAGUUAAAUCAAUUAUUCACCAUUUGUUCAAUUUAGCUUUGUAUAAAUCUUCAUUUUCUCACUCAGCAAAUUCCAAAUUUACUACAAAGCCUUCUGCCAUGUCUGUAACGAGAACAGACUGAAAAGUAUAAAAAGGCAGACAGCUUACUAAAUUUAUAAGCAAUUGCUCAAAAAAUAAUGAUCAAUGUCUAUACUUUAUCUGGAGUAUGAUUUUUGAGCAUAAAUCAUACAUGAUAUAAAUAUAUAUACAUAUAAAAUUUACAUUUCAAGAUAGAAGGAUUCAAUUGUAUCCAAUUUUUGACUGUUAGGAAAAGUAAAAGAUUGAGACAUUUCUGUAAGAAAUUGAGUGACUGAGGAGGAAUGAGCAGAUUUAAGACCAGAAAGUACCAUUACAAUCUAUGACUGCUUGGAUCACAUGCAGCAUAAAACUUCAAACAGAAACAAUUGCAACAAAUCCAUGACUUCUGAUUGAACUAGACCAUUUGGAAGAGAUCCCUAAUUUGGCCAUACCUCGAUGUUUCAUAUCGAUGGAAGUACAUAUGUAGACCAAGGUCAAAAAUGAAAUAAAUGCUUAAUUGUGUGACUAGACAGCCAGCAAGCUAGAUUGAAAAUCUUAUCUCUUCCAUGAUGUACAAACUGAAAUGCAUUGCUAAGAAAAGUUUUUGGUAUUAGAGACUUAAGUGCAGCAUUGUUCAGGAAGCAUGGAAACUGUGAUCUUACCUACAUCAGCUAUAGGCACCUUGGCCUUGCCCAAGAAAAAGCCCUCAGCUAAGAAGUCAAGAACAAUCUCUUUUCUUCUCACACCUGGCCUUUCUUGACUGGGACUAUGUCACUGGAUUAGGAAAAAGAAACGUAUGCAUGAAAACAACUGAUUUAUUUGUUUAUUGAUUAAAAAUGAUCUUUCAUUAGCUGCACAAUGGGAGCCAGCCAUAUAUAACUUUAGAGUGUCCCACUUGUGAAGCAAAAUGAGUUGGCUCAAACUACGUGAAACUUGUCAGCUUUUUUUUUUUUCCCCAUUGCAGUGGGCAUUACCUAAUUGCUUUCUGUAGUAAUCAUUGUUUUAUUCACUGAAAUGUUAAUAAUGAAGCCUCUGGUGUAGCAAGUGAGAAUUUUCUCUCUAUACUUCUCUCCUGGUGCAUGCAAUUCAGUUAUAAGAAAAUAGUAAAUCAUACCAUCAUUUUACUUUCCAUGUCCAAAAUUUGAGGUGAACAGAAUUGAAGGUCCAGAUUCUGCAUUUUAUUUAACAUAGUGUAGGAUGCAGCUCUACCCCUAGCUCCUUCAGAAAAGCAUUUCCAGUUCUAUGCACAUUGAAUUAAGCUUACAUAGCAAAGAUGUCUUCACUGAGCCCAGCUGUCCUCAUGAACUGCCCUUGUCACUGUGUACUUUGAAGGUGAGUUGUAUUACUAGGAGUAGAAAUUGGAAGUGUGAUGGAAUUGAGCAGAAUAAUUAUAAUACGUGGGAGAUAUCUCCUGAACAGGGGGAAGUAUGGAUGGAAUCUGCGAGGCCUGAAUUCUAGCAUUUCACUCAUAUUUCAUUCUGAUAAAUCCAGUGGGUUAGAAAUAAAAAAAGAAAUAAGGCAAUCUAUGCAAUCUCCAGGGUUGCCAAGUAAAGGUAGCAUGAGUUCAUAUGAAGGAUGGAUAUACAUUUUCACAGUCCUUUCAUUUCUGACUAUCAUAAUUACUAUUGGUCUUCAAGGCAUCUUACCAUACAGAAUGAUAUUUUUUGAAGCAAGGGUGAUAUUGUUUCUCUGUACCGAAGUGUUAAGGGUUACCUAAAUAGAAGAGAGAGCUGUUCAGUCUGUCUGUAUCGAAUAGGUAGAUAGUGGAAUAGGUGAGAAAUAGGCUGGUUACUUUUAAGAAAAUUUGAGCAUAGGAGAAGAUUUAUGUGCUCCACAGCAAAAGAAUGGCUGGAGGUAAGUUGCAAAUUCCUGCACAUCCAGGGAUUUGUGAGACUGUCCUUGUAGUUGACUGGACCAAACUACAUCAAAUGAGACAAACAGUUCACUACUACAGAGCAGCCUGCUUUCAGUGUCACAGUUAUCAUCUUCCUGUGUGACGGACUGAGACACAAAUAACCAGUGCAAAUUACAUAUAGGCAUUUGGAAAAUACAGAUUAUUACAUAAUAGAUUGAGAGGGAAUGGUCACAAGUUGCAGCAGGGGAGGUUCAUGUUGGAUAUCAUGAAAAGCUUCUUGUCCAAAAGAGUGGUGAUGGAUUGGAAGAGGCUCCACAGAGAGGUGGUGGAGUCACUAAACCUGUAGGUGUUCACAAAAUGUGAAGAUGGGGCACUGAGGGACACAGUGACAAUAUUGGUGGUAGGUGGAGAGGUGGACUAUAUGGCCUCUUCCAGUCUUAAUGAUUCUGUGACUCUGUGUAAGUCCUGGACCUUUAAUUUCAAAGAAUGGUCUGGAGAGAUCUUUCAGAAUAAGUGUUGAAUAUUCAAAAUUAAUUGGAGCCCUUAUAUUUCCUAGAGGAGCUUGGUAUGGACAGAGGAUUUUAACUUAAAGCAUCACUUGUGUUCUAUAUCUUAUAAGGCUCUUAUUCCCAUUUCAGCAAUCUGUUUUUUUCUGUUCCUUUUGUUCCCUCAUCAACUGGACCAGAACACUAUCUCUAGGAAGAGUCUGCUCAGUUGCUUGAAGCAUGUACAUCCGUGUAGCCAAGGGAGAAACUGACCAAUAGCCUCAAUGGUGAUUAGAAGACAAUUGGUCCCUCAAACUUGUCUUCCAAAGUGAGAGCACCUGGCAGCUUCUGGCAGCUUUCUGUUCCUUCUCUGAAACAAUACAUGCCAUGAUGGUGGGAAAACGGGAUUCCAGCACAGCGCUUCUCAGAAAUAACAUGAUUGUGACUUCUUUAGUUCAAAGGUCUGAAGCAAUAUGGAAAAGAUGACCUACAUAAUGACCAAACCAAAACUUUGUCACUCUACAGUGGUUCCUCAAAUCCUGCUUUGACAUCAAGCAGCUUCAAUGCAGGUACCAAGAAGGGAGCAGAGAGGAAAGGAUAAUUGGGUCCGUGCUCCCAUUUGAAAGGGAGCUUAUGUUUUCCUGCAACUUUGAUGGAGAUUAAAUAUGUCUUGGCUACUUGGCUCUGACCACAUGAAAUACAGCAUCUAGAGAGACUUUGUGAGCAAGGGCUUGACAGGCAGACAUUUAAGAUCGUUGGUCAUCUUUGCAUCUUUUAAAGUAGAAGCGAUAUCUCAGUAAGGGAUGAUUUUACACUAUUAAAAAAAAUAAUUAAAAAAAAAAAGGAAAGGAAAGAAAAGGAAAGAAAAGAAAAGAAAAGGAAAGAAAAGGAAAGAAAAGAAAAGAAAAAAGAAAAGAAAAGAAAAGAAAAGAAAAGAAAAGAAAAGAAAAGAAAAGAAAAGAAAAGAAAAGAAAAGAAAAGAAAAGAAAAGAAAAGAAAAGAAAAGAAAAGAAAAGAAAAGAAAAGAAAAGAAAAGAAAAGAAAAGAAAAGAAAAGAAAAGAAAAGAAAAGAAAAGAAAGAAAAGAAAAGAAAAGAAAGAAAAGAAAAGAAAAAAAAGAAGAGUUAUAACAGAAGUAAAAGAUACAGCCCCAAGCCCUGAAUCAUCAGGAAAACCAAACAAACUAGACUUUCACUGUUUGUGGUCACUGCUGAACACUUACAGUACAGUGUAGGAAAUGGACCACUCUCUAAUAUAAUGUGUUGCCCCAAGACACAGAAUGCUGCUAAAUAUCCUGGACAUUCUUUCUCACUCUGAGCUCUCUACGGUCUCUAUUAAGGCAAGCUCAUUCUGUGGAGAAUGAGAUAUUUUUCCAUGAACCACCUCUCUUCUCUAAAGGAUCUUCUCAGGGCAACUGCUAAAUUGUCCUGCGAGGCUGAAUAUGCUCUGAUGUCAGAGCAUACCAGCUGAAGUGUUCAGCAACGUAAAAUAAGCUGGAGAUGCUAUACAAGAAGAGUAUGUUGGUACUAAUUUUUUCCAAGUAAACCCAUUCAGGAUAAAAAUAACUUCCUUUUCUCUCUCUCUCUCUUUUUUUUUUUUUUAAUAAUGUCAUAUUGCAUCAGCAGACUUACACAACACGUUAAAAAUCCCAGAGAAACAAUAUAUCAUACAUGAAGAGCUUCCUACCUAUUAGAUUCAUGCAGCAAAUGAAAUUCUAUGCAACUUCUUCCAGGAAAAUAGCUUGCGUACUCUGAAGCUAUAUCUAGGAUUUUUACAAACUGUUCUGCAUGAUUCACUCAGUGCUCGGUAGAUUAGAUGUUAUUGAAUUCACAUGAGUUCAUGUUAAAUAAAGUGAAACACAACAUCUGGGGCUACUCAUCACUCAAAGAUAUGACAUCCAUUGCCAAACACAAGAGUGAUUCAGUAAUGUUGUAAUUACCAAACUGGGUCAGUGGUGAAAUAGAAAGUGGGGACUGUUAUAACACCAAGUCCUUAGAUUAUCUGUGAUCAGAAGAAACAAACAAUCAGAGUUUGUGAUAUAUGGCAAGCACCAAUGAUCCCGGACUGUGCACAAGACUGGCAUUUCAUCCUGUAAAAUUUAAUUGUACAGAAAAAUGUAAGAUGGAACAGCCUUGUCCUACCUGUUACAGUGGACUGAAUGGCCUAUGCUGAAAGUGCCACUGAAAUUCAACACACACUGGGGAGACAAAGGAAACUGUGAGCACUAUAUCUGCUUCUUAUUUCUGACUCUAGUUUAAACUUCCAGUGAGUUCUUCCCAAAUGGCUGUUCAGAACUCUGUGUCUGUUCUGUGUUUUGCCAGGGCCAGGCAAAGGAACAGAAGCAAAGGAAAUGAACUAAAAAAAAACAAACAAGUAAAAAGCAAUCAUAUGUCAACUAAGACCCAGAAUAUGAGAUCAGUGUUUACUAAGCACAACUAGAACAAAGUAGAUAUCACACUAAGGGACAUGAUUUAGUGGACAUGGUGGCAAUAGGUUGAUGGUUGGACUGGAUGAUCUUAGUGGUCUUUCCAACCUCAAUGAUUCUGGCAUUCUAUGGAAAGUUGGGAGACUGCAGAUCCAGAUAAUUCAAGGCUGUGUUAUUCAUGGUAUGAUAGCCUGCACGUCAAAGGUCAAUCUCAAGCCUAUGCACCAUGCAAACUAGAAAUGCUGAUGUGCAUGAAGAGGAGACAGGGCUAUGUGACUAACGUGGUUUGGCUUAUUUAGACUUUCCUAGCCUGCAGGACCAGAAGCAGUUGGGGAGAAGAGAGUGGUCUUUGGCACGCAUCUACUACCAGACUCAAACUCAGAGUUUCCAUUCCAUAGGAAAACACCUCCACUGCUCAGUGCCCCACCCCCGGCAUGUGCAUACUCAUUCUUUGUUUUGAUAAGCAAAUCAGUGAGUGCUUUAAUGUACUAUACCUGGGGGAAUUUAACUCAGAAUUCUGUGCUCAGGUUCCAAGAGGAUGUAGUUAUUUUUUACACCAGUAAUUUGUGUUUUGUUCCUUUUCCAAAUAGGACAAAAAAAGUUAGAGGGUGGUUUUUUCCCUGGUUUCACUCCUAAAUCGCCAUUUAUACCCUGACAUCAGCUGACAUCAGUGGAAAUGUCAAAAAAUCUUCCUUUUGCAAGAUUUCAGAAACAAUGCAGAUAUAGAGAAAAUAAAAAUAAGGUAAGAAGGCACAGGAGUCACUGUCUUGCCCUUGCUCUUUUCCUCGAUACCACUCUAAUGAACAUCAAGUAGCCCUGCCUCACAGCCACCAAAGAAUGAACAUCUGGAUCCUCAUACUACAUUCACACCCUCUGCUCAGCUCCUAUCCAUCUGGAAGCAUCUAAAAGACAGUUUUGGCCUUAGUAUAAACAUCAAAUUUGCUUUUCUACAUAUGAAAAAGUACUUUUCUUUCAAGGGAACAGCAGCAAAGAGUAAUAACCAAAAUUAGAUAUUAGUUGUUUCUCACUUAAGAGGGCCUUGCUCUGAAAUCUGAACAGGUUUUGGGGAUGCUGAGCUAUGGGGCUGGUGAGUGUGAAAGAAGGUUCAAAGAAAUGGAGAGAUGAUUUCAAUAAAACCAGUCUUUCACAGUUGGGUGAAAAUAGCACAGCACCGUGGUUCAAAUCAGUAGUUGAUAACUGACAUUAACAGCCAUAUACCAAGUCACCCAGACCAAUUUUUCUUCCUCCCAAACUCUUUAUCUUAAUGUUCUUUAACUUACCUGCUGUUAUAGCAAAGACUUCUGCCAACUCUUUGCUCUGAUUUCCAGAUAUCUAAGAACACAGUGCUGAAGACGGGAGACUUCAGCAAGUUCUUCAGGCAAAAUUUGAGAAAUUUUAAUAGCAGAGGAGCUUAGGAGUGCAAAUGUCAACCUUUAUCUGUUACACCUUUCUAGGAGAGCUAUUUAUAAUGCACCUACCAACCCAGUUGGCACGAGUGAGGCAGGGCCAUGGGAUAGAAAUGGUCCACUUAGUGCUGAGGCUGGCACUUUGUGAGGCCACCUCGGGUCAGGGAAGAGAGAGAUGGAUCCUCCAUAAAUAGCAAAUGUCUCACAGCUUAAAAAUCGUGACAAGUCUUUCAUUUGAAACAACUGCAAGGAGGGUGCUGAGAAGACCGAAACUCCAAAUAUCCCUUGUUCAGCAAGCUGCCUGGCUGGGCUGAGAGCAUGUUGGAUCUUGCAGUCCUGGAGUCAAACAUGCUCCUCUGUUCACUCUUCCUUGAUUUUAUAGCUGCUUUUUAUAACAAGCACACAGGCACCUUACACCGCCGGGUGUGCACUGUAAUUAGAUUUUAGCUGCUGCUCCAAACUGCAGCUGGUAUUUUUAAAAAGCUGCAACGUUUUCCUUUCAGUUUUCACUACCCCUUGAGGCUACUUCUGGCAUUUUGGGGCAAAAAGAAAAGCAGAGCACCCAGAUGAAGCAUUUUUGAGUGUGUUUGUGUUUUUAUGGGAGAAGAGUGUUUGAACCACACCCCAGAAGGUUUUCACUAGAGCCAACCACCGUACUCAGAUAUGGAUUUAUAGGGCAGCAUCCAGCUCUCCUCCUGGGCCUGCUAAGACUCAUGUGUCAUAGAAUCACAGAAUCGUGGAAUGGCUUAGGUUGGAAGAGACCUUAAAGACAAUCGGUUCCACUGCCCUGCUGUGAGCAGGGCUGCCACCCAGCGGAUGAGGCUGCCCAGGGCCCCAUCCAGCCUGGCCUUGAAUGUCUUCAGGGAUGGGGAGAUGCCCCAAGCGCAAAAUGCACACAACCCAAUCCUCCUCCAGCAGCUACCACUGCCUCCUGGAAUCUCUGUGCCUCCUGCAUUGACUGCACAGCCCCUCUCUUUCUCAACCUCUGUCCACAACCUGGACCUGGGUAUCCCAGCAUGUGGGCUAUCUGAUCGGCCCUACUUCAGCCAUGGGCUCAGCUGUCCUGGCCUGGCCCCACCAGUGCUACAGUGAUUUAUUUACUUUUUCCUCCUCUGAGUGGCCACAUGCCCAUCAGUGAGCCCCUUCUUGUCAUCUGACCACAGAUAGCACUGACCGUGCAUCAAAGGGGAGGUCUGUAUUCGGUUGCAGAUGACAGCUAGCAAUCAGCUUUUUCCAUGUGUGCUGUUACUUAUACCACUUCAUUCAGGCCAGCAUUUGGCCAUUUUUAUCAACUCCAUCACUGCUAGCAUGAGACACAGACAUUACAGGCUCAGCAAAGGUGUGUGAGGCCCUCCAAGCUCGUUGAACUAAGGAUCACAUUCCAAACACUGUGCAGAUUUAGGGCCAUCAGAUCUGACCUCCUGAGUGAUGCAAGACAUUGACAUCCAUGUGGGCAUUCCUACAUUCAGCACUUGUCUGUCUGUGCAAGAUGGCAAACAGGGAACUGUAUGGAUCAGAUAGUUGAUCAUGAGGAGGUACCAGCACUGCAGAAAACAGGGCGAUUCACUGCUCCCAUCGCACCCAAUUCUGCCCUCUGAGACAGCAGCUAACUGAGUUUAAUGCCCUUGGAUUUAAGCAGCUGACAUAGGACCCAGCCCCCAGCCUUCAGAGUUCAAGGGGGAAUUCAGGAUGGCUCCUUCGUGAUCCUGCUUUUGGCAGUCACUUCUGAUAGAGUGGAGGAUGGCAGCAGAUGAAGAAGCAAGGGGCAAGCUGGACUGGUGCCCAGGGGCAAAGGAGUGCAUUCCUUAUGUUGUUAUAAGCACAAAUGGUAAUUACAAGAUAAUUUGGGUUGGAUUUCAAACAGCACUAAAGCCCCUUUCUGCCACUUUGGAGACAGAAGAUGACCUAGCUAAGUGGACAGAAAAAUCCCGUAAGGAGAUGGCCAUGGCAAGAGUGUGAGCAAGGAAGAAUAUGCUGACCCUCUCAAUGCCUUUCUAAAGGGCAGGGUCAAGAUAAAUAUAUCCAAGACCUGCUGGCUGCUGCUAUCAGCCCACAGCAAGGCAGGUUUGCUGUGUGGUCUGGGAGAACAGGUUGAGCUGCGGUCACCACUGAGCAAAAGGUGACAACUGCAGAUAAGGAGAGGGGCUGGGGGUCCUGCCCAGCACAGUCUUUCUCUGGCAGGAUGCAGUGACCUCAGAUAGAGCUGAUGUCGAGCAGUUUUGCUCCUAGCUCCCAUUGGGAUGGGAAAGCCUGGAGGCAGGCUGGGGCUGGAGGAAGCUGCAGCUGCAGCCCAGAGUGUUCUGGCUAAUCUCUUCUCAAAGCCGCUGAGAUCUGGACAGCCCCAGGCUGCCUAAGAGCAAGGGGAAGAGGAAAGGUUACAGAAAGGCCUGUGUGUCCUCUUCCUUCUUUCUUGCCUGGAGCAUGCAAGACUGAUUUGGGUCUGCUGGAUUUUUACAACCAGGGUGUGUUUCCACAGGACAAAUUGUGACUCUCAGCUCUGUAGGACAAUUUAGAAGAAAAUCAGUCCUUCCUUGCCCCUGCUUGCCACAGUAGAGGGGUCUGUGUGUCAGGACCCCCCACCUGACAAAAGGCCAGGCGCUGAAGGUGAUGGAGGCAGACGUGGGCAACCCACCCCGACGUUUCGGGGAUGCCAUGCUUCAAAACCUGCUACGCCUGUUGGCUCUUUUGUUUCGUGACAUUUAACACUGAGCGUUUACAAUCCAGAGCAAUUAUCUUUUCCUUCUGCUUUUAAGGAGGACUUUGGCAAAGGAAAACACUUAACUUUUGUCUCUUUUAUUUCUCCCCACCCCUGCCUCCCGCCUGGCUGCCGGUGGGAAGGAGGGAGGAGGGCGGAUGCCCCGGCGGUCUCUCGGCGGGGACAUGCUGCCAUCCAGCGGCUGCGGCCACGCGGCCCCGAGGAUGUGGAUGUCCCGGAGCACCGCGCCCCGCGCUGCCCCCUGGGGGCGGAGGAUGCUUCGAGGAGUGGUGUUGGGGUCCGACGCCCCCGGCUGAUCCAGCCCCCCUGCCCCACUGCUCUUGUAGCCCUUCAGCAAAAAUGUUCAUGGAAGAGAGAGUCACUUACAGCCAUUCAUGCAAUUAUGGUGGCUUGGAGGAAACAGAUGAUUUGACAUGGAGUAGAUUUGCAGCCAAGACCCCAUUGCAAGCAGGACCUGAGUUCUUUGGAAGAGUCAUGAGCUGGGGGUGAUUGCCCUGUGAAGAGAGUAAAGAGUUCCCCAGCAAUCUGCAUUCAACCUUUGAAGUACUUUGGAAGCUGUGUAUAGAAGAUACCAGGGCAAUUUUGUGAACUGGAAAUGUAAAUUAGCAGAGCCGAACCUUCCUUAUUAAUGCUUCAAAAGACAUCAAAUCCCCUAACAAAGGACAGUCAGUACAGAGCAGGGCUCUCUCAUUGAUCGACUUGUCAUUUUUCUAUCUCAGCAUCACACAGGAGUGGGGAAUACAGGUGCUUUCGGGAGAAAUCCCCCAGCUCACAAAUCUGCCUUCUGUCCAGAAAGUAGGUCUCAUUGGUGCAUAAUAAACGUGACAGCCUGGUAACUAUUGAGGUGAGAGAGCACAGAUCCAUUCUGGUUCAGCACACUUGUGCAGCUACCAAAGACGGCACCAGGUUUCUAUGUGAGAUUACAACCCCAUAAUUCCAACAGAAUCACAUCAAACCCUCUCAAGGGGACAAAAAGUUUGCACAACUACAAGUUCAGUUGGACCAAGCUCAAUGGAGGGACUGGGUGACAUGAUCCCCCAAAGCUGGCUGGCAGUUCCCUGGCUCUGAAGCAAAUGAGAUGAUGCUGCAGACUGCUUUCCUAGCUACUUAAAGAUAAAAAGUACUUUAGAAUAGAGAAUAAUCCUCCAAAUCCUUAACUGAGUUACGAUUCUAGAGAAAGGAACAGAUCGUAUUUAUGAGAUGAAGAAUUACCUUGUCGUGUUCACAUCUUUUAAACCUCUGGUAUGAAAUAUUCACUCUUCUGAAGCCAAUCAAUGUUUCAGUGCCAAAGGAAGUGGGUGCAGGCUUUCAGGCACAGAAUAUCAAUGGCAAGUUAUGUGGUUGUACAAGUGAGAGCCAAAGAUCCUUUACUUUCUCUUGAGUUCAAAAGAGAAUAUGCAUCUAAUAUUGGAUGUUAGUAAUAGCGAGCAUCUUGUACAAGGUGAAUUUCACCUUAGCUGAAGAAGGGAAGAAGCAGGAUUAUAACUUUCAAAAUCUUCAGGAAGUGAAACGUGUUCAGUAUAUGCUGCUCUAAGGUUGUUAUUACUAUUUCCUACAUUCAGGAAACCAUCAAGUUUACAAUAGGAGCAAAUUCUCGGAUUGUCAGUUUAAAUUUUAAGUUUGAGGUUGCUAUUCAAUUUCAGGGUACCACUAUCUCAAGCCAGAGAUCUAAGCAUCAGAGAGCAAAAUCAAAUGGAGUAAGAGUAGAUUUAGCAGAACACUACAUUAUGGACUAAGGAGUCAAACAUAUGCAAACCUUUCGUCCUUACUAAGAAACUGCCUCACACCAUCCACCUGGGGGAUUGUCUUCAAGACCUAUCCUCUCCGCUGCCAGGGUGGGAGAAGCUGUGCCAAUGGUGCAAGAAGGACCAAACACUGGACCACAGGCUGGAUGAAUUCCUUUUGUCUUGAACAUGGUACCAAGCAGACAUGCUGCCAGCUAGCAGUGUUGGAAGUCUUUGUUAGAGAAAGAGAGGGCACUCUAUUGUACAUGUUUAGGAACAGCGGUGUUACACAUUAAGAAUCAAAACAAAAUUUGCUUACACUAUUGUGAAAAAGGGUCUGUCUACAGUGGUCUCCAAUUUUAGAUUUGAUUUUCAGUCCACAUUCCUGACUUCAGUCCUCAUCAGUCAGUUUUGCCCCAGACUCUUGCAUUAUGAAGACUAAUUUACAUAUCCAAAUAAAUAGCUCUCAAAGGAGAAAUUCAGGCUGACAUAAUGUAACUCAUCCUCAUCCUUUUAGAGCUAUUUUUGCAUAAAAAAAAGAUUAGCAAACAAAACCAAGGAGGUAAAGAAAGAAAUGUCAUGGAACCUCUGGGAUUUUUGAGAGACUACUCAACUAUCCUGUACAAUCAUGAAGAUGGGGUUGUGGGGAGGGAGAUUUCCCAGUUGACACGUUUCUCCACUUGUGAACAUGUUGAAAGAUCACUCAUAUGUUUUCAAUGAAGUCACUGACAGUCAAGAAUGCUGGAGGCAACAGCUGUUGGGGAUUGAUUUACCCCAAGGCUAUUUAAUCUCUCAGCCUCUCAUAAGGAUGCUUGCUAGGGGGAAGGUAAAGAAGCACAACUAAAAAUUGUAUUGCUUUCAGCAGCUGUUGUUAUUCCUGAAAGCCAAGAAAGGGUCAAAAAUAUGUGAUGAAAGUCUUGGAUUGUUAUCAGCUAUAGGGGUGGCCAAAGCUUACUGCUUCCUUUGGGAGUAAAGUUUCCUUUGUGGAAUGAAAUACAGUAAAAUUACUAACUCCCUUAGGCUUAGUUGCCUGGGAGUUACCAUGAAGUGUAUAUGUGCCUUGGAAUUUCCAGAAUUAUAAGUAUAUUAUGUCAGUCGGAAUGAUACAGGUUGUGAAAGGCAGCCGUUGUGUUCAGUAACAGGAGCUGAGACAAUCGGGUAGCAAGAAAAGAUAACAUAAAACAUUCAUUAAAAUGGUGGAAAAAAAAAGGACUGAAAAGCAGAGUGCAGCUGCUGUUAUGUGUCAGUUACUAUUUCAGAAUGGUCUCCUUCUGUGAAACACUGGACUUUUAUGAAAUCAUAUUGUCCAACCAUGCAUUAGACCCCUGAAGUGUAAGGUAUUUGCCUACCUCGCUGAAAAUAAGAUACAUGCAUCUCCCAGCAGAGAUUCUUUUUGUAACCAUGCAUUUUUCACUCUUGGCUAGCAGAACUUUUCAGAGAGAAUUAGCAUGGAUUGCAUUUUCACUUGGGAAGGAAGCAAAAGUUGCAGUUCUGUUUCACCUAGGAUUUCAUGGCUGUGAAUAUGGGUGAUGCCUUGUGGCUUUAAGAGUGCAUAAUCAGCCACUGAACUUAUGUCUUUUCCCUAAAGCAAUCCAAGAUUUUUGUGACCAUGCCCCAUUCUGAACAUUAGCAGUGUACAGCCUUACAUCUCUCUCAUCCCUCCCAAAUCCAUGGAGUGGCUCACUCAGGAUGUGUCUACACCAGGGCUUUCCUUGGCUCAAUAAUACACUUCUGAAGCAAAUCUCUCAUUAUCCCCACUUACCGUGUUUUGUAUCCCAUCAUGGAUCUGUUUAGGAAAGCCAGAUUUGUUCCAGAUCAAAAUGAAAGUGGAAAGUGUUCUCCAGGACCAUACCUCAUGUAUUGCAUCACAAAGGGCUCCAUGAAAAACUCCAGGCAAUGAGAGAAUGGGCCUGAAAGUCACAGCUAUCCUGGAAAUGGCUAUGUUCAGAGGAGGAUGAGUAUUCUUCAGGGCAGUGCUGUCUCCUUACACUAGCUGAGUUCUCAAGAGCAACACACAAGUCUGCAAUGACCAAAAAAAAAUAAAAAUAAAAAAAUUGAACACAGCAAACUUUGCUGAAUGUGGACCUAAAAACUCUUUAAAUAUUCUUUAGAUGCUGAAAAAAAAAAAUGGCAAAGCUAAAGAAAAGAUAAUGCUGAAAAAUAAGUAGCGUGUUUGUUCAUAAAAAGUAUCUUUACACAAUUAACGGAAUCACAGUAUCAAAGAAUUGUAAAGGCUGGAAAAGGGACCUCUGGUGACGAUCAAGUCCAGGUCUCAUCACAGCACCUUGGGAUUAUUGCUUAGUCCUGAGGAUGCCCAGAACUUGGUGCAUAGCUAAAGUUCAUCCAACAAAUUAAAAACCUUUGGCUCUGAGAAAAAUGGAAAAGAGAAAUUUUGGGCAAGUGCUUUGGGACUACAAGGAAAGAAUAAUCAAAUUACUGAAAAUCCCUGUCCCACAAGUACUUACAAAAACAGAAUAGUAAUUUUUCUUGUGACUUUUCAGCACUUCUCCCUCUGGGAUAAAGUGAAGAUGGGAAAGAGGAAAAAUGUAGAAAUUAAGACAAAUUAAUUAUGAACUGUGUCUGACAGAAUUCAAUAACUGUUUUUCUGCUGACUAUACCAAAGUUUGGAUUGGGCAGUUUUGGUCUUCAGAACAUUCGAUAUCUACACAGUAGUCUGACUAGACAGAUUCCCAAUUCCUGUUUUUAUACACCUGCCAAGCUGACAGGCAUUCUAUGAUGGAAUAUGCAAGUCUUGUAACACAAUGCACUUACCCAACAAAAAGUGUCAUGAAAAGAUUAUUUGAUUUUCUAACAGCAGUCUUAAACCACAAAAUAAACCAAACCAAAACAAAGCUCAAAGCUUAUGAAUUAUUCCUUAAAAAUCAAAACAUAUUAAAAAAACACAACCACCUUCCUCCCACCAAGAGACAAGGUAACGGUGGAAAAGCAGAAUAAUGAAAGCAUUUGAUACUUACACGUCUUUCACCCUAUGGCACUCUAACACUGUAUGCUUGUACUCACCAAGCUGAAGUGUAACCACACCUGGGCCAUGGAUAGUCCUUCUCCUCAGAGGAACACCUGUACAAUUAUCUGUGUUCUUCUUGGUAGUAGCAUCAGAUACAAAAGGGGCCUUGCAAGGACCUGACUGAAGUUCCCACUAAUCUCACCAGGUGUACACCCCAGCUUUUUCAUAGGGACAAUCCCCAAUCACUGAAGGAAAAGGGAUUUGUUCAACUCAAGCUUCAAUGCUUAUAGAAGCAUUCAACAAAAAUCCAUCCAUGCAGGUCUUUAAGAUCUUCUUUCUCCUGUAAAUUUGAUUCUCUUUCAAUAUUUUGACUUCCAGGCAUCUUGAGAGGCCCUAGUGCAGGCUCCCUUCCCAUCUUGUAAAAAAAAGGGAAGAGAUUAUGCUAUUUUCAGCCACCAGAUAAAUAAACUUCUACAGUUUACUUGAAGUGUAUUAUUUUUUUAAACCCAAAAUUGUCAUUUCUGCUUAUUUAGGAAAGUGUUCUUAGUUCUUCUGCAGAUCUCCUAGGCUAUGACACUGUGUAUUCAAAGACAAACCUUGCUACAGGAAACCUUUUAAAUCAACAGAUAAUAAAGUGCCAGUGCAGGCACUGAAGCUAUGGAGAUGCUGUCAUAGAAUCAGUCGUAGAAUCGUUUGACUUGGAAGAGACCCUUAAAGGCCAUCUAGUCCACCUCCCCUGCAAUGAACAGGGACACCUACAGCUAGAGGAGGUGCUCAGAGCCCCAUCCAGCCUGACCUUGAAUGUCUCCAGGGAUGGGACAUCUACCACAUCUCUGGGCAACCUGUUCCAGUGCUUCAACAUCCUUACUGUAACAUAUUUCUUCCUUAUAUCCAAAUCCAAAUCUCCCCUCUUUUAGUCUGAAACCAUUUCCCCUUGUCCUAUCACAACAGACCUUCUUAUAGAGUUUGUCCCCUUCUUUCUUAUAACCUCUCCUGAGGUCAUAAAACCUCUGAACCUUUCUUCAUAAAAAGUGGUUCAUAAAACCACUGAAACCUUUCUUCAUCUCACCUAGCCAAGCUCCAAGACACUUCUCCUUUUUUUUUUUUAAAUGUUAGAGUUUCGUUUUGAGUAAAUCAGAUUCUGUUACUGUCUUACUACACAGAUGCAUGGACACCAAUACAGGCAGUAGAGAGGAAGUCAGUGGAAGCAUUUUUAAAAAAGAAAAUAUAUAUUAAAAAAAAAAAACAAAAAAACGUUGACUUACAUUGAUUUAAAGUGAUUUAAAGAUUUAAAGGCUCAGUGUAAAGCUCACAUAGAAUAGCAAAGUCCCAAUGACAGCAAGUAGCAGUGUGUAGGCUUAGCAAAUGACCCAUCAUAUCGUGAAAUAUUUCAGUUUGUUUUCUCUGAGUUCAUAGAGCUUUGUCAAGAUAUAGCUACAGCAGAUGCCAUUAUAAAUAUCUGAGUUCAAGAUGUUACAAAGCAGAUAAAGAACAUACUUCUCAGACCUUUUUCUUUUCAUAGACAUAUAUUUUUUUUAAACCAUCGUUCUUCAGUAGGACUGUCAUAAUUAGUUCUAAAGCCUGUGGAAAAAUAUAACUCAAUUUCACACAAAGAGUCAGGAUCAAGGCGUAAUCUGUGAGAUCUCUGGUCAUUUUAAAGCUUUCUCAUAAUACAGCCUCUUUCACACUGUUGAUGGAAGUCUUGGGACAAGAAGACAGUUGCUUCUGUCUUGUUCUUGGGUGUGAAAAUCAGUAGGAGAAUGUGAAAGGCUUAGAACAUACCAUCCCAGAGAACUGAGUCUCAGCUUGCAAAGGAGACUCCAGUUAGGCAAUGACAAAUUCCUUCCUCUCAUUAGAGACACGUUCCUCAGCAUCAGGGGCCUUCCCUGGAAUGUGGCUUUCAGCUCCAAGGUCAUUCUAAUGAUGGAAAAAGAACCCAAGAGAUCAUGACGGUCUAAAGCAAAAGCUUGUGAAGCAGCUUUCGCAGACUCUCCAAGCCACGUGUGAAGGAAUGAGCAGCAGCAUGCCUGGGGACACUGAGACGCUGCAAGCUGUGUUCCUGCAGAGCAUGGAGAGGUCAUCUCCCGAGGCAAGGCAUGGAGAGGGUGAUAAGAAACCACCCACAUCACCUGCUGCUUCAAAAUCAGUGUCUGUGCAGAAGGAUGUUCUUCACAAAGAAAUAACAAAUUUUUGUGUCCCUUUCCAUAAAUGUUUUUUUUUCCAGAGUGCCUGUGAAUGAAGAUAUGGUCCCUGCUCAGAAAAUCUGACCCAAAUACUCUUCUCCUAAAUGGCACAACUACUGUGAAAGCCAAUUACUGCACCGUGGGUUCUUCAGAUCCGUAGCUUCUCAAAAUUAAUAUAAGUGCUGGAAAAGAUACCGGAAAAAAGAUCAGUUAUGGAUAAUCUGAGUCUUGAUGUGCUUCCCUGGGAUUUACAGUUAACCUCUGAUCCAAUUAAAGGCUGUGGAGGGACUAUACACAAAAGUAGUGCUGUAGUUCCUUUCCCUUGUAUUUUACAUCCCCAAUGAAUAUUCUGUAUCUACAGGCACCACAAAUGACAAUUCAGAGAGUCAGUUAGAAGUCUCAGCAAAAUUCCUGGUGUCUUGGCACAGGACCUCCUAAUGGGGGUCAUUCAGAGGGAAACCUGCUGAGGGUGACUGGGAAGAAGGAGUCAUUGCCUCUGAGGGAGCCUUCUGUCCACAUCUCAGGACUUGUGACACUGCUUCAGAAAGAAAGCUUAAGUUGUUAGAGCAGAGAAAAUCUUCAUUACGGUACCCCACCCUCAGGCAUGUGAAAGACAAGCAGCUCAGCACCUUCCAGAGUCAGGCCCAUAAAGAUGAGAGGCUCUGGAACUUGAGGGACAGGUAAGUGAGGAUGUGGUGGAAGGUCCACCCAGGAGGUUAUCUAGGGCAAGGAGGCUGACUCCACAUCCCAAGACUGCAUCUGACAAGAAGACAAUCACUGUGGGCAACUCCCUUCUGAGAGGAACGGACAGCCCCAUAUACUGGCCAGACCUUACUCAUAGGGAAGUGUACUGCCUCCCUGGGUGAGGGUCAGGGAUGUUACUAGAAGGCUCCCUAGUAUGGUUCACCCUCUGUUUAUUAUCCCUUAUUGGUACUUCAGGCUGGCAGUGAUGAAGUCACUGAGAGAAGCUUGAGAGCUAUCAAAAGGAACUUCAGGUGGCUGGGGCAGUUUGUGGACAGAGAGGAAGUACAGUUGGUUUUUCUCUGUCCCUUCAGUGGCAGGGAGGAACACUGAGAGGACCAGGAAAUCCCAUCUGAUAAAUACAUGGCUGAGAGGCUGGUGCUGCUGUAGGAAUUUUGGCUUUUUUGAUCAUAGGGCCGUUUACUCAGCACCUGGCUACAAAUGAGGUCCACCUAGGUCAAUGGGGGAAAGGAAUUCUGGCCCAGGAGCUGUUUGGGCUUGUUGACAGGGCUUUAAACUAGGUUUGAAGGGGGAAGGGAGUGAUACCGAGCCUGCCCAUGACAAGGUGUGGGAUAGCAUAUCUAAGUUAAAGGGACAAGAUGCUAGUAGGGGCCCUCAAUCUGUUGCAUUUUAUAAUGAAUAUACUAGGCAUCGAGCUGUCAGGGCUCAUCACCAUGGCUUUAAAAUAGAUUUGAUGGUGGAAGAGGAUGUAGUGCCAAGGAACAAAGAGUCAGGGAACAUUGUCACUUUAAGAAGCAGAGGAGAAAACCUCAGAUUUGUCCCAGGGGUUUUUGGGAGGGCUCCUCCAAGAAGAUAAUGUGGCCAAAAGCCCAACUGAAGUGCCUCUAUGCCAAUGCACGCAGAAUGGGAAAUAAGCAGGAGGAAUUGGAAACUGUGACGUAAUUGGAAAACUAUGAUCUUACUGCUAUCACAGAAACAUGGUGGGAUGACUCACAUCUGAAACACUGAAACACCAUGAUUGAGGGUUAUAGGCUUUUUAGAAGGGAUAGGCAAGAUAGGAGAGGUGGGGAAGUUGCUCUGUAUAUUAAGAAGUAGAUAGACUGCAAAAAGCUGCCGCUGGGAAACAGUUAUGAAGAGGCUGAGAGCUUGUGAGUUAAAAAAAUUAGGGACUGGACCAAUAAAGGGCAUCUGGUGAUGGGGUCUACUCCAAGCUACCUGAUAAAGUGAGGCUGUUGACAAGGCCUUCUUACUUCAGCUGCAAGAGACAUUGCGCUCACAGGCUUUCAUCCUAAUGAAGGAUUUCAACCGCUCAGAUAUCUGCUGGGAAAACAACAGGGCAGCCUGCAAGCAGUCCUGGAAACUCCUGAAGUCCACUGAUGACAAUUUUCUGGUUCACAUAUUGGACAGACACAGCAGAGGUGAAGCACUUCUGGACCUGGUGCUCACCAACGCAGAAGAGAUCAUAAAAGAAGUUACAAUCAGAGGCAGCCUGAGCUGCAGCAACUAUGCCCUGGUUGAGUUUGUGAUCUCAAGGAAUGUGGAAGCAGUGAUGGGUGGCCUGGGAAAAUAUAGGGAUGCUGUCUGGAUGUGCAAGGAUGGAGUCUGGAAAACUGAGGCGCAAAUGGAAUUGGAUUUGGUCAGGGAUGUGAAAAACAACAAGGGAUGCAAACAAGACAAAAUAGAGGGGUCAGCGUUCUGCACAGUGACUCACUCCAGUGCUAUUACAGAAAAGGAUGUUUUAAUGUGCUGCUUCCCAUCCAAACUUCAUGAAAUGGGAAGCCUCCCAGAACUCUUCCAGAAGCCCAGCUGGAACUCCCCACUAUGAAAAACACUUCAACGUGAAUUAGAAAGUUUGCAAGAAAACCAUUACAAAACAGUACCAUCCUUGGCUAUACUAUGCGGUACUUCCCACAUAUUAGGAUCUCCAAAGAAUGUCAUUUUUGCCUUGAAAAAGUAUCCCAAGCUAUUCCCAUCUGCAAGGACAAUCUCUUUACUCCACUCUCAGAAUUUCUGAUGUCCCAGCUAUACCAGAGAUUACACCACGGACAUUGUGACAAGUUAAAAACCUGAAGUACUACGUCAUCUGAUGGUACAUGAGUGCUUCCUCCUGUGCCUGACUUUACUUUGGACCUGGGAACAAGAGCUAAGACAAAGCAUGGAUUUUCUGUCUGAGUGUUUGCAGACGCUUCUAUUACAUGAUCACAUUAUAGCGCUGUUGAAAACUGCUGUCAGCCCGUUAAAUAACACCGGACAGGUACUUAGGAUCUUCCAUUACCACAAUAAUGACAUAUCUCCCAAGUUUUGAAACAUCGGCUCAAGUUGCUCCCAGCUGUUCCACCGCAGCUCGUUUUCCUGCCAAUCACCACAUGGUGGUGGUGUAUCACCAUGAGUUCAGUGUUCGGGUCUGACUCCUGAGAGCUGAAUAGUUGGUUUAAGAAAGCUGGAUAUUUACAGCACAGCACAUUUACAAGGAUGCUUGUAGAGUGAACCCUCUAAAUCCAGUUUACCUUUGAAUUUAUAUGCAUUGCUUAACUGCUUUGCAUAGAGAACUGUCUGGCUUUCCAGUCAGGAAUCUCCCAGAGUAUUUCAAGCAACAUAUUUAUAACUCCAGGUGCAUCCACAUGCAGAAGGAUUUGAAGUCACAUGUGAUUUAUUUGUCCAUCUGCUUCAUCUCAACCUAUUUUGUUUCAUUUUGUUCUUGUUCUUGUUUUGUUUUGCUUUAAUAAUCCUUUGAUACUUAAUCAUCCAUUUCCUAUGGAAAAAAAAAAAAAAAAGUGCUCCCAAGAAUUCCAAUAGAGUCCAGGAAGGCUGAAUGCCUACUCUUCUGAAUUUGCUCCUAAAAGUCUUCUUCUGCAAAGCGUUUCAGCCACCCUUCACCAAAGUCAGGCAAUAAAAAGAAGGUGUACUGCAUUGCCAUUGUGUUUUUCAGCCCAUUCACAUUAUAGACCUUAAAUUAGCUAUUAUAUGUCCUUAGCUGAAUGUGGACAGUGACAGCCCAAUCGAAGACAGAGUGAAGUCAAUGGGAACCUUUCAGUUCUCCCUCAUUUGGCCCUGAAUCAAGUUCAAAGUUGUCUGAUUCAAGAAACAGAUCUUCUGUGUUUUUACAAAGAUGAUUUUUCUCCAGUAUGGAUAUAGGUUACAAAAAAAUUCCAUUAGGGCUUUGUGCACAAAAGAAGCUAUAUGUAACAAUGACAGCAUGUCUCAAACCAACAGAGAGAUUAGCUCUACUUUAAUUGGUUUGAAACAAGGGCACAUCAUCAACAGGGACGGGAGAACUGGCUUGGACUUAAUGAGAAAUGCAUCAUUUCCCACUCACAAACUUACUGCAGACUUACCCUGAACUUUCUAAAUCAAAACUGUUUUAAUAAACUUUUUUGUUGCAUUGC